GAUUUUACACUCUAGACAUGGCUCUUGAUAGAAGAACUGUAACCAGUUUGAUCAUCAUGAUACUUAUCCCAUAACAUAACUCCUCCAUAUUUUGAAGAACCUUUGAUUGCUGGCAGCACUUUAGAAGUAAGGUCACCGACAGGGAUGUAUCCACUUCCAGCGGCUGUAGGUGAUGCUGGUAGCCCCAAGAAAAUCUUGGCCGCGGGUAUAUCAGUAGUCCACUGCUUCCAUGCAUCUUCAAGAUUGGUGAUACCUCCAGAGUAUUGACAAGGAGGGUUGUUAUAGAACUGAACCCAAACAUAGUCAAACAGACCUGUUUUAAGAGCGGUUCCAAUAUACGCAUCCGGGAAAGGACACUGGGGAGCUGCUGUCAAGUAUACCUUCUUUCCUUGAUUGCUGUAAGCAGAAAGAUACCUUGCCAGGUCAUCCCAGUGUUGGGUGGUUCCUCCUUCGAUAUCAAAAUCGAUUCCAUCUAGAACAGCUUCGCCAAGUGGACGGGUGGAUGAUUGGCCACCUAAGAAGUUAUUCCAGAGGUAAGUGGCUACUUGUUUGGCAUCUUCGGCAGAGGUUAGGUAGUAGCUCCCGGCUGCUCCUCCAAGAGUGAGCAUCACCUUGACUCCUUUAGCCUGACAUGAUUUAAUGUCUGAUGUUAACUUGGUGCAGCCAUUGCUGUAUGGAUCACAGUGACCUGCCAGAUUAAUCAUUGGUGUCUGGCCGUUUCCAAAGGUUGCAAGAAAUGCGAGGUUGACAAAAUCGUAGUUCCCUGUCGAGCACGUCUCAGCCAAGGUACCCUCACCCCCGUUUUGACCCCAGUAGAUUGCAAUGCCACCAGCAUUGGUACCCACUGCUAGUAACAACAUCAUUGAGGAUAAUAAUGCUAAUCGGGAUACCAUUUUCACUCAAGUAUGUAUCUUACCUGAAGUACUGUAGUAAUUAAUGAACUAAUAAUGUGUUCCAAAUGCUUGAGAAGUUUGGUUUUUAUAGUAAAGGCAGAUUGCCCAAUUGUGGAGUAUUUUUACAAAAGCAAGGACCUUGGAGGGCACUCUGUUGAAUCCUCUUUUAGCAGACCUUGGAUUUUUUGAAAUUAUUGGAAGCGUCUUCCUUUGCCAUCUGUUUUGUUUGUUUCUUGUUGUCUUCUACAUUAAUGUUUUGGUUUCUCAUUUAUGGUAUUAGACAGAUUUGUCCCUAUGCUAUUGUCAUUAACAUACAAAGUAGUUCAGGUAUAUGUUACUUCCUUGAACUUCUGAUGAGAAUGUUAUAGGCUGUCAUAUAUUACAAUCACAUGGCUCUUUUGUUAUUGUUGCCGACUAUGAUCAAGAAGAAUGUUUGGAUGCAUGGUGUGUGCGGCGUGAUACAGGCGGUGAUGGGGGGAGGUGACGGUGGCCGUGUCUAG
RNAcentral lists this long non-coding RNA (1393 nucleotides) under Helianthus annuus (common sunflower). Its description in RNAcentral is "hypothetical non coding rna". The record is from RNAcentral. Lineage: Eukaryota; Viridiplantae; Streptophyta; Magnoliopsida; Asterales; Asteraceae.